RNAcentral lists this ribosomal RNA (718 nucleotides) under Funneliformis coronatus. RNAcentral's name for it is "eukaryotic LSU rRNA". It matches the Rfam family "Eukaryotic large subunit ribosomal RNA", at positions 65 to 626 of the family's 3401-position model. The record is from RNAcentral. Lineage: Eukaryota; Fungi; Glomeromycota; Glomeromycetes; Glomerales; Glomeraceae.
AUAACAAUGAUUCCCUCAGUAACGGCGAGCGAAGAGGGAUAAGCUCAAAUUUUAAAUCUGUUGGGUUUCACUUAACAGAGUUGUAUUUUGAAGAAACGUUUUCUGCGUCCAGGAUUAGCCUAAAUCCUUUGGGAUAAGGUAUCAUGGAGGGUGAGAAUCCCGUUCAUGGUUAAUCUUAAGGAAGCUCUACGAUACGUUUUCCAAGAGUCGAGUUGUUUGGGAUUGCAGCUCAAAAUGGGAGGUAAAUUUCUCCUAAGGCUAAAUAUUGGCGAGAGACCGAUAGCGAACAAGUACCGUGAGGGAAAGAUGAAAAGAACUUUGAAAAGAGAGUUAAACAGUACGUGAAAUUGUUGAAAGGGAAACGAUUGAAGUCAGUCAUACCAACGGGAAAUCAACCUUUUGAGCUCGGUCUCGUGGGUUUUGAAGAGUUUCAAAGCCUUCGGAUUCGCGGGAUUGGGAUCUCUCGGUGUACUUUUUCGUACGGUUAGUCAACAUCGGUUUUGAAUGUCAUAAAAUGACUGGAGGAAUGUAGCUUCGAUCUCGUAUUGAAGUGUUAUAGCCUUUGGUAGAUGUGAUGUUUGAGACCGAGGAUUGCAACGGAUACCCUUCAGGGCUAUUCGUCUGAUCUCUGAUACGUUGCCUUGAUGUUGAAAGCUUGCUUAUGAUGUUAGGGUAUUACGGUCAAAAGGUUAGAACGAAUUACAUUCGUUAAGGAUGU